UCCAGACUCCUACGGGAGGCAGCAGUGGGGAAUAUUGCACAAUGGGGGGAACCCUGAUGCAGCGACGCCGCGUGGGUGAAGGAGCGUUUCGGCGCGUAAAGCCCUAUCGGCAGGGAAGAAGGAGGACGGUACCUGACUAAGAAGCCCCGGCUAACUACGCGCCAGCAGCCGCGGGAAUACGUAGGGGGCAAGCGUUAUCCGGAUUUACUGGGUGUAAAGGGAGCGUAGACGGCGAUGCAAGUCUGAAGUGAAAGCCCGGGGCUCAACCCCGGGACUGCUUUGGAAACUGUAUGGCUGGAGUGCUGGAGAGGCAAGCGGAAUUCCUAGUGUAGCGGUGAAAUGCGUAGAUAUUAGGAAGAACACCAGUGGCGAAGGCGGCUUGCUGGACAGUAACUGACGUUGAGGCUCGAAAGCGUGGGGAGCAAACAGGAUUAGAUACCCCGGUA
RNAcentral lists this ribosomal RNA (446 nucleotides) under uncultured bacterium. Its description in RNAcentral is "bacterial SSU rRNA". It matches the Rfam family "Bacterial small subunit ribosomal RNA", at positions 330 to 792 of the family's 1533-position model. The record is from RNAcentral.